CUGGUAUUUGAGCCCCGUGACAAUCAGCCUGGGACACUCUUCUCUUCACCUUCCUACCAGCAGUCCUGCACCUUUUCCUGGAUUGUCUGCCCAGGGUCUGCCCCAUGAUGCAACAGCCGGUCUCUUCUGCAGGUUUUUCUGCUGGGGAAAGUUUCCUCAGAGCUGGAAUGCCUGCAGACAGGAGUUCAGGUCACCCUCCACAUCUGUCACCAUUUGCUACACUUCUAAAGAAGAUCUCUGUAGAUCAUGUGCCAAUUUGUU
RNAcentral lists this long non-coding RNA (261 nucleotides) under Cricetulus griseus (Chinese hamster). Its description in RNAcentral is "lncRNA (ENSCGRG00015031376.1)". Lineage: Eukaryota; Metazoa; Chordata; Mammalia; Rodentia; Cricetidae. The record is from RNAcentral.